AAGGACCUUGGCCUACUCCUGAAAAAUGAAACAAAAUGAUAUGAGCGGAGAGGAAAGGAGACGUAAGGGCCAGAAAGAGGAGCAGCCACGAAGAGAGACAAAGCGAGAAGUAGAGAGAGAAAGUUAGAAGUAGAGAGCGAGAGAGAGCGGCGACGGAAGAAACUCAAGGUGUUGGCUUUCCAUUGAUGCGAAAACUGGCGGAGUUCAAGGUAAAGUAAUGGCGGAUCCGCCUGGUUUCCGCCUAUGUUUUACUAGUUAUUCCUGUGAUAGUGGUGGUGGUUUUUUUUUCUCUGGUAUUUUGUCGGGGUCGAGAAGAGGAAUAGGGAGGGAAGAAAGAGGAGGAGGAUUGUUAUUUGUAUUGUUUGGAUCAGAAGCAUGCUGAGUGUUCUUCGCGUUCAUCUCCCGUCUGAUAUACCUAUCGUGGGGUGUGAGCUCACACCUUAUGUGCUUUUGAGACGCGCUGAUAACUCCAUCACCACUGAUGAUGCCCUUGAACCAGAGCCGGUAGAUGGGUUCUACCUGAGGUACAAAUGGUACCGUAUGCAGAGUGACAAAAAAGUUGCAGUGUGCAGUGUACACCCAUCCGAGCAGGCAACUUUGCAGUGUCUAGGCUGUGUGAAAGCAAAAAUUCCAAUUACCAAGAGUUACCACUGUUCGUCAAAAUGCUUUUCAGAUGCAUGGCAACAUCAUCGUGCUUUGCAUGAACGUGCAGCAAAUGCUCUAAAUGAAAAUGGGACUGAAGAGGAGGAGCUGUAUCGGUUUAAUAGUAGUGGUGCUGUUGUGACCAAUCCAUCACUCUCUAGUUCAACAUCAGCCACAAAUCCAAGCCCUAUCAUGAACAAUGGUUCCACUCCUAUUUAUUCUUCGGCCACUUCUGAUAGAACUAGUGGUGAGGCUUGGGUUGAGGUGGGGCGCUCGAAGACUUAUACACCAAGUGCUGAUGAUAUAGGGCACGUUCUCAAGUUAGAAUGUGUAGCAAUAGAUGCUGAUACUAGAAUAUCAGUGGGACCUGUGAGUACCCUUUUGACUUCAAGGGUUAUCCCUGCACCUUCACCUACUCCAAGGCGCUUGAUUCCAGUUAGCGGGGUUGACCUAGUUGGGCAUUUGGAUUCAGAUGGUCGGGGUACUUCAGGAUCCUUUACAGUGCUCUCUUAUAAUAUUCUUGCAGAUGUUUAUGCUGCAAAUGAUGUAUACAGCUAUUGCCCAUCAUGGGCCCUGUCAUGGACUUAUCGAAGGCAAAACCUUUUAAGGGAGAUAGUGGGUUAUCAUGCGGACAUUCUGUGUCUUCAAGAGGUUCAAAGUGACCAUUUUGAAGAGUAUUUUGCACCAGAACUUGAGAAACAUGGCUAUACGGCUGUGUACAAAAGAAAGACAGCUGAGGUUUACACUGGCACUGUUUAUGCAAUUGAUGGUUGUGCAACUUUUUUCCGCCGAGACCGGUUUUCCUUAGUUAAAAAAUACGAGGUUGAGUUCAAUAAGGCGGCUCAAUCUUUAACUGAGGCUGUGGUUCCUGUCGCUCAGAGGAAAAAUGCUCUCAACCGGCUGCUUAAGGACAAUGUUGCUUUGAUUGUGGUGUUGGAAGCGAAAUUUGGUAAUCAUGGUCCUGAGGCCCCUGGAAAAAGGCAGCUUCUUUGUGUGGCAAAUACUCAUGUAAAUGUCCAUCAAGAUCUUAAGGAUGUCAAGCUGUGGCAGGUUCAUACUCUGCUUAAAGGGCUGGAGAAAAUUGCUGUCAGUGCAGACAUUCCGAUGUUGGUCUGUGGUGAUUUCAAUUCAAUGCCUGGGAGUGCUCCUCAUGCCCUCUUGGCGACUGGGAAGGUGGAGUCAACACAUCCGGACUUAACAAUAGACCCUCUAGGAAUUCUGCGGCCCCCUUCAAAGCUAAAUCAUCGCCUUCCUUUGGUCAGUGCUUACUCUUCCUUUGCUAGAAUGGUGGGUGUUGGUAUGGGCUUAGAGCAACAACGCAGGCGAAUUGACCCUAUGACAAAUGAGCCCUUGUUCACAAACUGCACCCGAGAUUUCCUGGGCACCCUUGAUUACAUAUUCUACACUGCGGAUUCACUGACCGUGGAAUCGUUGCUUGAGCUCUUGGAUGAGGAUAGUUUACGCAAAGACACGGCGCUUCCUUCUCCUGAAUGGUCUUCUGAUCAUAUCGCACUUUUAGCAGAGUUUCGCUGCAACCCACGGUCACGUCGUUAGCUUUUAGCAAUGAUUGGAGAUUUACGAUGGGAAAGGAAGAGAUUGGCUUUUGAUGUAGCGGAAGGUAGUGGCCAUGAGCUCUGAUUUUUCUCUCCUCCAGUGUUAGCUAUCCUCACAGAUUUGAAUCUACUCUCGCAAGGGGCAUGAGAAAGAAGGAUUCUUAGUUUUUUAUCGGAGUGUGCAGGAUCACCGGGGACUUGAAAGCAGUAGAAUCUCAUCCAAAGUCUAUAGUUCAUUCAACAGAGCCAAGUUCUGGCAGUAAACUCUUGAUGAGGUAGGUAGUUUGGAGAUUUUAGAAGGGGUUCAAUGUUCAGGGCCCUUCCUCACUCCAUUAAUUAGUUUCAGGUAAUUAUUCAAUGUUUUUAUUGACACACUGUUGGAAUAUGGACAUUUUUAAGGGCGUCAUGCCGGGUUUCAAGCUA
Amborella trichopoda is the source of this 2618-nucleotide non-coding RNA. NCBI's taxonomy places the organism in Eukaryota, Viridiplantae, Streptophyta, Magnoliopsida, Amborellales, Amborellaceae. The record is from RefSeq and is a predicted model, not a curated record.